UACGUAGGGGGCGAGCGUUAAUCGGAAUUACUGGGCGUAAAGCGUGCGUAGGCGGUUCGUUAAGUUCGUUGUGAAAGCCCCGGGCUCAACCUGGGAAUGGCAAUGGAAACUGGCGGGCUGGAGUAUGGCAGAGGGGGGUGGAAUUCCGAGUGUAGCAGUGAAAUGCGUAGAGAUGCGGAGGAACACCGAUGGCGAAGGCAGCCCCCUGGGCCAAUACUGACGCUCAGGCACGAAAGCGUGGGGAGCAAACAGG
Molecule: ribosomal RNA, 253 nt
Filed under: uncultured bacterium
Lineage: Bacteria
Description: partial 16S ribosomal RNA
Rfam family: Bacterial small subunit ribosomal RNA
Source: RNAcentral